UACGUAGGGGGCAAGCGUUGUCCGGAUUUAUUGGGCGUAAAGAGCGUGUAGGCGGUUUGGUAGGUCCGUUGUGAAAACUCGAGGCUCAACCUCGAGACGCCGGCGGAAACCAUCAGGCUAGAGUCCGGAAGAGGAGAGUGGAAUUCCUGGUGUAGCGGUGAAAUGCGCAGAUAUCAGGAAGAACACCCGUGGCUAAGGCGGCUCUCUAGUACGGUACUGACGCUGAGACGCGAAAGCGUGGGGAGCGAAC
RNAcentral lists this ribosomal RNA (250 nucleotides) under uncultured bacterium. Its description in RNAcentral is "partial 16S ribosomal RNA". It matches the Rfam family "Bacterial small subunit ribosomal RNA", at positions 524 to 773 of the family's 1533-position model. The record is from RNAcentral.